RNAcentral lists this ribosomal RNA (478 nucleotides) under uncultured bacterium. RNAcentral's name for it is "partial 16S ribosomal RNA". It matches the Rfam family "Bacterial small subunit ribosomal RNA", at positions 28 to 507 of the family's 1533-position model. The record is from RNAcentral.
GAUUAACGCUGGCGGCGUGCAUAACACAUGCAAGUCGAACGAUGAAACUCAUUAGAUUUCUUCGGAAUGAAACUGAAUGGAUUAGUGGCGAACGGGUGAGUAACGCGUGAGUAACCUGCCUUACACAAGGGGAUAGCCUCUGGAAACGGAGAAUAAUACCCUAUGAAACCAGACAAUCGCAUGAUAAUCUGGUCAAAAUGUUUAGUGGUGUAAGAUGGACUUGCGUCUGAUUAGCUAGUUGGUGAGAUAAAAGCUCACCAAGGCAACGAUCAGUAGCCGGCUUGAGAGAGUGUACGGCCACAUUGGGACUGAGACACGGCCCAGACUCCUACGGGAGGCAGCAGUGGGGAAUUUUGCACAAUGGGGGAAACCCUGAUGCAGCGACGCCGCGUGAUUUAGAAGGCCUUCGGGUUGUAAAAAUCUUUUGUAUAGGAAGAAAAUGACAGUACUAUACGAAUAAGGUCCGGCUAAUUACGUG